AGCCGGUUUCGUAAGUUCCUGGUAAAAUCGGGUAGCUUAACUAUUCGUAUGCUAGGAAUACUGCGGUACUAGAGGGCGGGAGAGGUCUGAGGUACUACAGGGGUAGGGGUGAAAUCUUAUAAUCCUUGUAGGACCACCAGUGGCGAAAGCGUCAGACUGGAACGCGCCUGACGGUGAGGGACGAAAGCCCAGGGGAGCGAACCGGAUUAGAUACCCGGGUAGUCCUGGCCGUAAACGAUGCAUACUAGGUAAUGGCACGGCCAUGAGCCGUGUCAGUGCCGUAGGGAAACCGUUAAGUGUGCCGCCUGGGAAGUACGGUCGCAAGGCUAAAACUUAAAGGAAUUGGCGGGGGAGCACCACAAGGGGUGAAGCUUGCGGUUCAAUUGGAGUCAACGCCGGGAACCUUACCGGGGGCGACAGCAGAAUGAAGGCCAGAUUGAAGGUCUUGCUAGACAAGCUGAGAGGAGGUGCAUGGCCGUCGCCAGUUCGUGCCGUGAGGUGUCCUGUUAAGUCAGGCAACGACCGAGACCCGCGCCCCUAGUUGCUACUGAGGAAGUUUUCCGAGGGGAACUCUAGGGGGACUGCCGUCGACAAGACGGAGGAAGGAGCGGGCUACGGCAGGUCAGUAUGCCCCGAAUCCCCCGGGCUACACGCGAGCUGCAAUGGCAGGGACAAUGGGUUCCAACCCUGAAAAGGGAAGGCAAUCUCUAAAUCCUGCCUCAGUUUGGAUCGAAGGCUGGAACCCG
This 746-nucleotide ribosomal RNA is filed under the name uncultured Thermococci archaeon. RNAcentral describes it as "bacterial SSU rRNA". It matches the Rfam family "Archaeal small subunit ribosomal RNA", at positions 523 to 1270 of the family's 1478-position model. Lineage: Archaea; Methanobacteriati; Methanobacteriota; Thermococci. The record is from RNAcentral.